RNAcentral lists this ribosomal RNA (474 nucleotides) under uncultured bacterium. RNAcentral describes it as "partial 16S ribosomal RNA". It matches the Rfam family "Bacterial small subunit ribosomal RNA", at positions 38 to 536 of the family's 1533-position model. The record is from RNAcentral.
AACGAACGCUGGCGGCAUGCCUAACACAUGCAAGUCGAACGAGACCUUCGGGUCUAGUGGCGCACGGGUGCGUAACGCGUGGGAACCUGCCCUUAGGUUCGGAAUAACUCCCCGAAAGGGGUGCUAAUACCGGAUAAUGUCUUCGGACCAAAGAUUUAUCGCCUUUGGAUGGGCCCGCGUUGGAUUAGCUAGUUGGUAGGGUAAAAGCCUACCAAGGCGACGAUCCAUAGCUGGUCUGAGAGGAUGAUCAGCCACACUGGGACUGAGACACGGCCCAGACGACGACGGGGGGCAGGAGGGGAGAAUAUGGAAGAGCGGGCGAAAGCCGGGUCGAGCAGUGAGGGGGGAGUGAUGAUGGCCUUUGGUUUGUAGAGCUCUGUGACCGGGGAAGAACAGGACAGAAAGGGGAGAAGAAGCUCCGUCUACACCCGCGCCAGCGGCGGCGGGAAUAAGGGGAAGAGCACACUUCCAACC